Molecule: long non-coding RNA, 3147 nt
Filed under: Musa acuminata (dwarf banana)
Lineage: Eukaryota; Viridiplantae; Streptophyta; Magnoliopsida; Zingiberales; Musaceae
Description: long non-coding RNA (MACU_LNC008482)
Source: RNAcentral
GGUAAGGGUAAGCGAAAGAAGGGGGGAGUAACACAGUGUUGGUUGUUAAUAUCUUAUAUGUUAUGAUAGCUAUCUUCCAGCACAGGAUAGGGAGGAAAUAAUGAGUGUUUUUACUUUUCAAUAGAUUCUUUCAUUAGAUAGAAUUAUCCUAUUUUGGAAUAUAAGAGCAAAAGACAAGCAUAUUGUGGAAUAUAAGAGCAAAAGAAAAGUCAUCAAUCAUAAGAAAUAGAUUCCCGCCUCGCCUGUGCUUCGUAUCAUAAGAAUUGGCGCUUGCUUUCUUAUCCAGUGCUUCGUAUCUGAUCGCGCUAUAGGGGAUUCGGUACCGCAAUAAUAGGUCUUUCUGUCUGCCUAACAAAAGAGAAAUGGCCGUAAGUCUACUUAGUUCAUUCAUGCUCAUAAGAUUCUACAAGGGCCAAGCAACUAAGCGCCAAGCAACUACGCAAGUCCUGUAUACUUGACUGGUAAGAAAGAGCUGCUGUUAAGAACUGGAACACUUGUGUAUGUACUAUUACCUUCUCUUAGCGUGCACAGUUGCAUGCUGCCUUAGGCAUAUAUCUCUUUCUUAGUUUGUUUCAAGCUUUCCUUAUAAGUUAGUUAGUUUCUUCCUUAUAAGUAAUAUAUCUCUUUCUUAGUUUGUUUCAAGCUUUCCUUAGAAGUUAGUUAGUUUCUUCCUUAUAAGUAAUAUAUCUCUUUCUUAGUUUGUUUCAAGCUUUCCUUAGAAAGUUAGUGUUUAGUAAUGAAUAAAUGUUGUGUAUGUUUCGUCUAUAAGCAAUUCUUUUGUAGUAACACGGAAAGGCAGGCAACUCUUACACCCUAACUCGUGGAAAGUGAGGCCCGCUCGGGCGGCUUCUUAUUGGAUUCCUAGUGUCUACUUUCACUGGUCAAUCAAUCUUUCUUUAUUUCGUCAUGGCACUAAAGAAUCGAUAAAGUAUGUUAGCAUGCAUCACUCAUUACUAUUCGGUACUAAAGGAGAUGGAAAAGCCAGUAUCCGCAGAGCCAGCCUAUAAAGUAGAGUAGGUCCCCUGUAGCAGAUGGAAAUCCAAUGCUAAAGUAAGUGGUGACUUCAGCUGCUAAAUAGGCACAUAUAGUUAACAAGUAAUGUACUUCGGGUGGGAGAGCAUAUAUUCAUUCGGUACUCUCAAGGUCCAAUUGGCAUUCAAAGAGGUUCAUCGCCUCACUUCUCCAAGCGCCGGAUAUUAGGAUAUUUAGUACUCUGAUUUGAGUACUCUGAUUUGGAUUAGGUUAGGAACCAUUUGCUGUUACCUGCAUUGCGAAUUCUUAGGCUAGGUUCCCGUCCCCACUUUCUCCAUUUUAGGGUUAGGGUCCAAGCAACUAGGCGUGGAAAGCAUAUCCCUUACUCGCAUUCGCCUAAUCGAGCAGAAGGCCACUCGGUGAUCAUCCUAUAACUGGCUAGAGUGAGUGUCACAUUACCUAUAACAGGCUAGUUUGAAUGCAGUAAUUAAGGGCACAGGUUUCUAUGGUUCUAUUUAGUCCUGAUUGAUGAGGGUUGUCAAAGACCGGAUCUUUGCACUUCGCAACCCUAUCAGAGUAUGUGCUUAGUGCAAGGCCUCAUAGAAGUUAUAGGUAAUGUAGUAAUACGAGCUCCGGCCCUCAUCUCAUACAAAAUCAACAAGUUAAUGGAUGUUCCCAGUAUUUUCUUGGACCCGAUCACUUUCACCUUUGAUAGAUCAUGGCGGUUUAGUUGGUUUGGGAAGUUUAGUUGAGACUGGGCACGUGCGUCAUCAAAAUGGAAAAGGUAAAGAAGAGAUGGAGGCUCGAAGAGAGGAGAGCCAUUUGCAUCGACCGCUCCUGACGCCAUGAAUACCAAUAACAGUACAAGUAUGGAUCGCCUCUAUAUUGUGUGGGUGUUUCUACUAUUUCUUCAAGCUAUGGAAAAUAAUGCGUAUUGUAUGCCAUUCUCCCAUCAUACUUUCGUUGGAAAACCCAACGCCAAGUCAAACAAUUUGUCUCCUUUCACUUUUCGGGAGCAGAGCAGUAAAAGAAUAGCAAUUCUCAAUAAUGGAAGAGUUCUUCUGGGGAUGUGACAUAUAUCAAACCAAGGAAAUACAAAGUAAGCAAAUAGACGCUACAAUACUCAUGGAAAAAAUCGACUAUAAGAAUGACUUACUAAUGGAUAAAAUACACUAUCAAAAUGAUGAAGUACAAAGUGAGCAAAUAUACUCUCUUCCCCAUUUGAAGGAAAUAACAAGAUUGAGUGCGGAAAUGAGGAUACAGGACUGCAACAGCUUAAGCCCACUUGAGCAAUUUACCAUUCACCCAUUAAUUCUGAUUCGUGGGGGCAACUAUUAUUUCUCAUUCACAAAUCCAUCCUUGUCUCUGCUGCUCACUCUCGGUUUGGUCCUACUUCUGCUUUUUUUGGUUACGAAAAAGGGAGGGGGAAAGUCAGUGCCAAAUGCUUGGCAAUCCUUGGUAGAGCUUCUUUAUGAUUUCGUGCUUAACCCAGUAAACGAACAAAUAGGUGGUCGAAAUGUGAACCAAAAGUUUUUCCCUUGCAUCUCGGUCACUUUGACUUUUUCGUUAUUUUGUAAUCCCCAGGGUAUGAUACCCUAUAGUUUCACAGUUACAAGUCAUUUUCUCAUUACUUUGACUCUAUCAUUUUCUCUUGUUAUAGGCAUUACGAUCGUUGGAUUUCAAAGACAUGGGCUUCAUUUUUUGAGCUUCUCAUUACCAGCAGGAGUCCCACUACCGUUAGCACCUUUUUUAGUACUCCUUGAGCUAAUCCCUCAUUGUUUUCGUGCAUUAAGCUCAGGAAUACGUUUAUUUGCUAAUAUGAUGGCCGGUCAUAGUUCAGUGAAGAUUUUAAGUGGGUCUGCUUGGACUAUACUAUUAUUGAAUAAUGUAUUCUAUUUCAUAGGAGAUCCUGGUCCUUUCUUUAUAGUUCUUGCAUUAACCGGUCCGGAAUUAGGUGUAGCUAUAUUACAAGCUCAUGUUUCUACGAUCUCAAUCUGUAUUUACUUGAAUGAUGCUACAAAUCUCCAUCAAUAUUAGUUCUUUCAUAAUUGAAUCAAAAUGAGGAGCCGGGCAACUGCUAUGCUUUUGCAGCUCAUUUACAUUACUUGGAUUGGAGAGCUAUCAACUAUCCUUUUGGAAGCGGAUAGUAUACAGUGCUAAUUCUCCAAAAUACAU